This 71-nucleotide transfer RNA is filed under the name Candidatus Saelkia tenebricola. RNAcentral's name for it is "tRNA-Gln". It matches the Rfam family "tRNA". Rfam says of the family: Transfer RNA (tRNA) molecules are approximately 80 nucleotides in length. Lineage: Bacteria; Pseudomonadati; Candidatus Omnitrophota. The record is from RNAcentral.
UGCCCCGUGGUGUAAUGGUAACACACUUGACUCUGAAUCAAGCGUUCUAGGUUCGAGCCCUGGCGGGGCAG